CCCGCAGGCGCUGGGUCUGCAGAUGGCGUCCAGGUACACAGUGGCGAGUGUGAUUCCGCAGUCUUGGGCUGUUUGGCCAAGCGCCCGCCGGACAUGGUACGCCGAAGGGUCAUCGGCGUGGAGUCCUCGCUUUCAGCGUCCGCGGCUGGGAAAUCGGCCAUCGCUACGGCGGGAACUGGGACUCGGGCUGCGUCCCGGCCCUUCCACAUCGGUCCACCGCACUCGUGGGCGCCCGCAUUGGUGCUGACAUAAUUUCCUGACCUCUGACCCGUAUUGUCUCGCGAUUAAAGGUCCAGAUUUGGAACAAAUCUCUCUAGAGAUUGAACAGAGCUGCGCCUGGAUCCCUCAGCAGUGAGGAGACCUGAAGACCAGAGGAAACACAGCAAGUCCAGGCACUCCCACUCCUCCUGAGAGAAAUCUACAGCCACAUCCCUGAACAUCAUCAACUGUUGGAAAGAAUAAUUCCAAGUAUUAAUGUGCUCUGCCAGAUUGGGACACAGGAGAUAACUGAAAGCCCUGGUGGAUAGAUUUGGUCAUACUGGUUGGAGAAAAGAGGGAUAUCUAGGGAAAGCAUUGGACUGUUUCACAGUCAUUACUUAUGACACUCAAUAGUGAUUCAGGGGCUCACCAGAGAAGACAGGGCAAGGUGAGGGGGAUCUCCUAGCAGAGGAAACAACAUGCGCCAAUCAAGCAAAGAUAUUUUUGUGCAUUCAAGGAACACAGAGAGGAAAGACAGUGGCAGAUGGAGACGUAUAAAGCAGGGAUCCUGUUAUGAAAAGCCCUAAAAAAUAGGGUAUAGAGUUUGGGCCAUAUUUCAGAGGUAAUAAGAAAGCAUUCUGCAUUUUUAAAGUAAGGUUUAAAAAUGUUUCUAAUUAGAGAUACAGCAAAGUUGGUGUGAGAGGAUAAAGACUGAUAUACAUAAUCUGAGGAGUUCAUGAAAAUUCCAUGUAAAGCCUGUAGUAUGAAUUGGUCCUAGGAGACAGACAGCUUCAGGGGCAUAGAGAACUUUAAGCACUUUUCCAAGAAGAGUGAAGGGCUGGAGAAUAAAUUGUGAACUAAAAUAUAUUUUGUGUUUGAGAACAUGAAGUACUUGAGAGUGAUUAUUACACGGUUUUAAGAAAAAACUAGUUCUUUUAAAUAAAACUUUUUUUUAGCUGAGCACAGUGGCUCACGCCUGUAAUCCCAGCACUUUGGGAGGCCGAGGCAGGCGGAUCACCUGAGGUCGGGAGUUCGAGAUCAGCCUGACCAACAUGGACAAACCUCGUCUUAAUUAAAAAUAUAAAAUUAGCCGGGCAUGGUGGCACAUGCCUGUAAUCCCAGCUACUCAGGAGGCUGAGGCAGGAGAACUGCUUGAACCUGGGAGGCGGAGGUUGCGGUGAGCUGAGAUCGUGCCAUUGCACUCCAGCCUGGGCAACAAGAGCAAAACCCCUUCUCAAAAAAAAAAAAAAGGAAAAAAAAAUUUUUAGGGACAGUGUCUCAAACUGUCAGUCAUGCUGGAGUAGAGUGGUGCAAUCACAGUUUACUGUUGCCUCAAACUGCUAGGCUGAAGCGAUCCUUCCACCUCAGUCUGCUGAAUAGGGUGGGACUACAGGAAUGCACCACUGUGCCUGGCUAAUUUAUUUUAUUUUUGUCGAGACGGGGUCCGCUAUGUUGCCCAGGCUGUUCUCAAACUCCUGGCCUCAAGAAAUACUUUCCCACCUUGGCCUCCCAAAGUGCUGGAAUUACAGGUGUAGGCCACCAUGUCCAGCCAAAAACUAAUUCUAAUCCUGAUAUUCCUCCUCCUGGAAACCAUGUAGACAGAAACAAGAAAAUCAAAGUAAAUCCCAACCAUCAGGAAACAGAAAAUGAACAGAUUCCAAAUUAUUUGGAGAUGUGAAAAGAAAAUGAAAGAACAAUGUCUGUGGAAGCCACAGUGAUGCUACAAAGAAAAACAAAUGAGGAAUAUCCAUUCCCAUGGGGAGUAGACCAUAUCCUGAAUGAAAGUUUCUGUGAGCAGGAAUGAUGUCAAAAGGAGGUGGUAAAAGGAGGCCCGAAGAUGUCAGGGGGAUUCAAGGUGGCAAAACACAUUGGUUGUAUUUUUUUUUUAAAGCUUUAUUGAAAUAUAAUUCACAUACCAUACAAUUAAGCCAUUUACAGUGAACAAUUCAAUGGUUCUUAGUAUAUUCACAAAUACGUGCAACCACAGUCAAUGUUAGAAUAUUUUCAUCAUUUCGAAAAGAAACUCUAACCCUUUGGCUAUCACUCCUUGGCUUCCCCACUGCCACAUGUGCCCCAUACUUAGCCUCAAAUAAUGACUAAUCUACUUUCUGACUCUAUGGAUUUUCCUAUUCUGGACUUUCAUAUGAAUGGAAUAACAUAUGUGGACUUGUUACUGGCUUCUUUCACGUAGCAUAAGGUUCUCAAGGUUUAUCCAAAUUGUAGCAUGAAUCAGUACUUCAUUCCUUGCUAUGCCUGAAUAAUAUCUCUGCAAAUGAAUAGACCACCUUUUGUCUACCCAUUCGUCUAUUAAUGGACAUUUGGGUUGUUUCCACCUUUUGACAAUUACUAUUAUUUUUGAGAUGAAGUUUCGCUCUUGUUGCCCAGGCUGGAGUGCAAUGGCACGAUCUCGACUCACCACAACCUCCACCUCUGGGGUUCAAGUGACUCUCCUGCCUCAGCCUCCCGAGUAGCUGGGAUUACAGGCAUGUACCACUAUGCCCAGCUAAUUUUGUAUUUUUAGUAGAGACGGGGUUUCUUCAUGUUGGUCAGGCUAGUCUCAAAUUCCCGACCUCAGGUGAUCCGCCCGCCUCGGCCUCCCAAAGUGCUGGGAUUACAGGCCUGAGCUACCAUGCCCGGCUGACAAUUAUUUUUAAAAUGCUGCAAUGAACAUUCAUGUAAAAGUUUUUGUUUGAAUAUCAUCUAUUUUGUAGUUUUCAGAGUAUAAGUUUUAUUUUCUAUAUAGAAAAUCAUGCCAUCUGCAAAUAGAGAUGCUCUUAGCUGUGUUCCGUUCUUUUCUCCAGUGUCUUUUAUUUCUUUUACUUCCCCAUUUGCCCUAGCCCAAUUGCCAGUACAAUGUUAAACAGAAGUGGGGAUCCUUGUCUGGUCCCUGAUCUUAGAGGGAAGACAUCCAGUCUUUUACCAUUAAGUGUGAUGUUGGCUGUGGGUUUUUCCUAGAUAUCAGGUUGAAUUCCUCUUUAUUCCUAGUUUGUAGAAUGUGUAUGUUUUAAAAAAAAUCAUAAAGGGUAUUGGCUCUGGUCAAAUGCCUUAUCUCUAUCUAUUGAGAUGAUUGUGUGAUUUUUGUUUUUUUAUUCUAUUGAUAUGAUGUAUCACAUUAACUGACUUUUGAUGGUGAGCCAACCUUGCAUUUCUGGGAUAAAUCCCACUCAGUCAUGUUAUAUAAUUCAUUUUAGAUGUUACUGGAUUUGGUUUGCUACUACUUGUUGAGGAUUUUUACACCCAUAUUCUUAUGAGAUAUACUUUGUCUCGUUUCAGUAUCUGGGAAAUACUGGCCUCAUAAAAUGAGCUGGGGACUUGGCUGUAUUCCUUAAUUAUAGUAGAAGACACUGGGUGAACUCAGAGCUGAUAAUAGGAGUCCUCCUGAACCAGUUGAGCUUCUGAAUGGUAAAGAAGGCCUGGCUAUUCAAAGGGAACCAAAUUUUAAAAAAAUUGUCUUCUACUGGGGUAACAGAGGAAGAAACCCUUGAGCAAAAAAACCUUAAAAACUACCCUUGCCCCAUUCACUUUUUUCACAUGAAAAUACCAGUGACAGCUAUUCCAGGAAAAUCUAUUACAUCCUCUCCAAAAUAUAAAUUAGAUAUAACAUGCGUAAGAUAGUUAGAUAAAAGUUUUAGGCUGGUGCAGUGGCUCACGCCUGUAAUCCCAGCACUUUGGGAGGCCAAAGCGGGCGGAUCACGAGGUCAGGAGAUCGAGACCAUCCUGGCUAACAUGGUGAAACCCUGUCUCUACUAAAAAUACAAAAAAUUAGCCAGGUGUGGUGGCAUGUGCCUGUAGUGCCAGCUACUUGGGAGGCUGAGGCAGGAGAAUCACUUGAACCUGGGAGGCAGAGGUUCCAGUGAGCCAAGAUCACGCCACUGCACUUCAGCCUAGCAACAGAGCAAGACUCCAUCUCAAAACAACAACAACAACAACAACAAAAAACACACAAAGUUUUAAAAGUGUGUCAAAAUCCCCCAUGUACAAAAAAACUCACUAAAAAAAUCAGAGAAGAUGAAAAUCAUCACCCAACAUUUCAGUCUGAAUUAAAAAAAAAGUAUGAUGCAAUUGCAGCUCUAAAAGCAGACCACAAGCAAAAAUAUACGAUCUCAGGAGAGAGAAGAAAGUAAUAGAUAGACCAUAGAUGGGAGUUAGUGGAAUUCAAGACUGAAAGAGAAAAUAGGCUAAGUCACAUCAGAAAUGAAGAAUAAACUAGCUAGUGCAGCGGCAUGUGCCUGUGGUCCCAGCUACUUGGGAGACUGAGUCUAGAAGAUUGCUUGAGUCCAGGAGUUCAAGGUUGAGGCCAGCCUGGGCAACACAGUGAGACCCCCAUCUCUAGGCGCAUAAGAUCUGACAAAUGCCACAGAAAGUAUAGUAUGGAACACAGAAUACAGAAAUUAAUGAACAGAACAAAAUUUAACAAAGAAACAAAAAUCAUUUGAAGAAAUGAAAAUGAAAAGAGAGAUCCAAUAUGCAAAACGCAGAGCACCUAAAAAUGAAAUCCAAAUUAAGAGGAUAUAUCUAAAACGAUGGUUGUAGCUGUGUAUCUAACACUACAGUUUUAAUACUCAAGAUGAAUUUCCUGAAAUAGAGUAUAAAUAAACGUGAUGAAAAGUGAAACCAUAUUACAGGUGAAAAUGAACCAAAAUAGUAGCAAAACAUGACCUAAUAAAAUUAGACUAAAACUCAUGGGGAAUCAAGAUAAAAAUAUCAAAUAUAAGAAAAAGGAAAUUCAAUUGUCAUCAGACUUCUGCAGUGCUAAAUUCAGUACCCCAAACAGUGGGGUAAAUCUUCCAAUAUACUUGUGAAAAAAACAAAUGAGGGAGUCAAAACAUUUUUAUAUCCAGCCAAGCUGUCAUUCGAGUAUAAAGGAUAUAAGGAGUUUUAUGAUGCAACUUAGGAAAUACUGUUGACAUGCGCUGUUUCAGAAGAAGCUACUAGAAGACAUACUCCAGCCACAAAAGAACAAUAGUGAAAGUUUCAGCAAAAGAAUAGUAGUGAUGCUGAACAUAUUUAAAUGCAAAUCUAAAUAAAAUAGUAAAAGCGGAAUUAUGGUAGCCAGCAUCCUGGAUGGCCCCAAAGGUACCCAGUAUGUGGUAUUCACAACACUGUGUAGCUGCCUCCUAUACUGAAUAGGAUUAACUUGUAUAGCAAUAAGGUACUGCGGAAAUGAUAGAGUAUGAGAUAGAUAUAAAAGACACUGUGGCUUCCAGCUUAUGCGUUCUUGCUGUCCUUUUGCUCUGGAGAAAACCAGUUGACGUAUCACAGGGACACUUAAGAAACCCCAUGGAGAGGUCUACAUGGUGAGAAACUGAAGUCUAUUGCCAAUAGCCAUGUGAGAGCCACGUUGGAAGGUGAUCCUCUAGUCCCUGUUAUGCCUUCAAAUGAUAGCAGCCCUGGCCAAGAGUGUGACUGCAACCUCAAGAGACCCCAAGCCAGAACUUCCCAGCUAAGCCACUCCUGAACUCCUGGUCCACAGAAAAUGGUGUUAAGAUAAUAAAUAUUUAUUUCUGUUUUAGGGUAAUAUGUUUUACAGCAAUAGAUAACUAAUAUAGAAAUGAAGGUUAGAGAAUAGAAAAUAGACUAGCUCAUUGAUUGCCUCAUUUGUGAUAACUGAGAGAUAAAGGGUGUCAUUUCAAGCUGAAAAUCAAGGGGAAGAAAUUUAGAAAUGUUUAGGACUACAGCCAAGGCAGGAGGACUGCCUUGAGGCCAGGAGUUUGAGGCCAGAUUAAGCAAAAGAAUGAGACCUUCUCUAAAAAAAAAAAAAAAAUGAAUACAAAUGUAAGUCAAACAGGGCAAAAUGUCAAUUAAAUUUCAACAUACAAGCAAAAAGUAGGAAAUUUAAAAUGACAGCACUUAGCAGGAAAAAUUCAAAUUCCUAUAAAUAAAUCUAACAAUAUAUGUAACAUACAAUAUCUUUUGUUUGUUGGUUUGUUUUUGAGACAGAGUCUCGCUCUGUCACCCAGGCUGGAGUGCAGUGGCACAAUCUCGGCUCACUGCAACUUCCGCCUCCCGGGUUCAAGUAAUUCUCCUGUCUCAGACUCCCGAGUAGCUGGGACUACAGGCACCAGCCAUCAUGCCCAGCUAAUUUUUGUAUUUUUAGUAGAGACAGAGUUUCACCAUAUUGGUCAGGCUGGUCUCGAACUCCUGACCUCAGGUGAUCCACCUGCCUCAGCCUCCCAAAGUGCUGGGAAUACAGGCAUGAGCCACCGCACCUGGCCUGUACAAUGUCUUUAUAUUAAUUACUACAAAUAGUUAAAGAAGACCUAAACAAAUGAAAUAAUUUAUCACAUUCAUGGGAUGAAAGGCUGAUAAUUUUCAAGGUGUCAGUUUCCCCAAUAUAGUGGUAUAGGAAGCUUAAAAGUAAAAGGAUAGCAAAAGAUAUACCAUGCAAAUCAUAAUCAAAAUAAUGCUUAGGUGGCUAUAAUAUCAAGACACCAUAGAUUUCAGAGCAAAUAAAUAACAUGGAAGAAAGGAUGGUCUUGAAUACAUGGUGCCAGGUCAACUGAAUUUAUAUGAGGAAAACAAAUCAUGAUUUCCCCUCACGACACAAAAAUCAAUUCCAGGUUUAUAUACCUACAUGUGACAGAUAAAUAUAGAUGAAAAUACAGAAUAUCUUCAUACCUUGGGGAUAAGCAAAGAUUUGAAUAAGAUACAGAGUACAAACCAUAAAAGAAAAAUGAUAAUGAUCAGACUACAUUUUAAAAAGCAAUUUUUGUUCAUCAGAAAAGAGUGAAUGGGCUGGUCAUGGUGGCUUAUGCCUGUAAUUCCAGCACUUUGGAAGGCUGAGGCGGGUGGAUCAUCUGAGGUCAGGAGUUCGAGACCAGCCUGACCAACAUGGAGAAACCUUGUCUCUUACUAAAAAUACAAAAUUAGCCAGACAUGGUGGCGCAUGCCUGUAAUCCCAGCUACUCAGGAGGCUGAGGCAUGAUAAUCACUUGAACCGGGGAGGCAGAGCUUGCGGUGAGCCGAGAUCGCACCAUUGCAUUCCAGCCUGGGCAACAAGAGCGAAACUCCAUCUCAAAAAAAAAAAAAAAAAAAAAAAAGACAGUGAGUAAAAAUGCAAACCUUACGCUAGGAGACGAUAUAUACAAUACACAAAGCUGACAAGGGACUCAUUCAGAUUAUACAAAGAACUCUUAAGGAUUAACAAUGAAAGACAAGUUUCCCAACAGCUAGGCUAAGAACUUGAACUGGCACUUCCCAAAGGAAGAUAUCCAAAUGGACAAUGCACAUUAAAACAAAGGUAUUCAAGUUCCUUAGUCAUCAGUUAGGAAAACCACAAUGCAAUACCACUACAUAUCCACCAUAUUGGCAAACAUUUUACAGUCUGACAAUGCCAUGUGUUAACAAGAAGAUGGAUCAAUUGGAACUUGCAUAAACUGUUGAUGGGAACUUUUAACUGGUUCAGCCAUUUUGGAAAACUGACAGUAUCUGCUUGAGGAGAUUCACAUACUCUUACUCACCAAUUCCUCUCCUUGGAAUAACCCAAUAGAAAUGCAUACAUGUAAACACAAAAUGACAAGUGCAAGAAUGCUCUCUUCCUGAUUAUUCAUGAGAAUAACGUAUUGUCUGUAUAUAUGAUAAACUUCAAUAAAAAGACUAGGAAGAAAUACAGCAUAUUACAAGGCAAAUACAAACAAAAAAAUAAGCAGAGGCCAUGAUCUUGAGCAUGCUAAAGCCUGCAAUUCAUAAUAAACAUAUAACAAUCAUUAAUAUCUGUAUAUCAAAGCAACAACAACUUUCAUAAAGCAAAAGUUACAGGUUAUAUAAAAUAAAAUUUUGGCUGUGCACGGUGGCUCACACCUGUAAUCCCAGCACUUUGGGAGGCCAAGGUGGGCAGAUCACAAGGUCAGGAGUUCAAGACCAGCCUGGCCAAUGUGGUGAAACCACGUGUCUACUAAAAAUACAAAAAAAAUUAGCCGGGCAUGUUGGCGCAUGCCUGUAGUCCCAGCUACUCAGGAGCCUGAGGCAGGAGAAUUGCUUGAACCAGAAGUUGCGGUAAGCCGAGAUCCCACCACUGCACUCCAGCCUGGGCGACAGAGGGAGACCCCGUCUCAAAAAAAAUAAAAUAAAAUAAAAUAAAAUUUCAUUAAUACACCUCUCUCAAUCCAAGACAAAUCAAGUGUAAGGCAAAAAGUAAGUAUAGACUGACCAGAUGUUAGAUCACAAAUAAAAGUUCACUAAGUUCCAAAGUUUAAAAAUAACACAAUAUAGCAAAACUGUAAAUUAUAUUAUUGGUGAAGUGGGGACCUAUGUACUUUACUGGAAGUCUUCAACAUAAUCAACAGAGGUUGAGGUCCCCUUAUGUCACAGGGAUCAAGACUCCUCCACAACACUGAGGCCAAGACACUACACCACUGUAUUAGUUUUCUACUGCCAUGAGGUAGUGGCUUAAAAUAAUACAAAUCUAUUAUCAUAUAGUUCAGUAGAAGUCUGAGUUGGGUCUUACUAGGCUAAAAUCAAGGUGUUGGUAGGGCUGUGUUCCUUUCUGGAAGCUCCAGGGGAGAAUUCGUUUUCUUAUGUUUUCCAGCUUCUAGAGGCCACCAACAUUCCUUGGCUUAAGGCCCACUUCCUCUAUCUAGUAAGCAAUGUGGCAUCUCUCUGACCAUUCUUCUGCGGUCACAUCUCCCUCUGACUUUAAACUCAGCCAGGAAAGGUUCACUGACUUUAAGGACCCAUGUCAUUAUAUUAGUCCAACAAGAUAAUCGCCCCCAUUUCAAGGUUCUUAACUUUAUCCCCUUUGCAAAGUCCUUUUUGCCAUAUAAAGUAGCAUCGUCCUAGUUUCCAGGGAUUAGGAAGUAAACAUUGGUUGCAGGGCCAUCAUUCUGCCUACCUUGACCCCCCUUCUAUCUUAAGCUUCCUUCUUUCUGAGAGAUACUCAGUGAAGGAAAUAAUGUAUACAGUGGUCCAUUUCCAAGACAAAAUGCCUUGAAUUGGCUUAGGUAAGCAAACUACAGAAGAAACAGGAUAUACUAGGCCCCUGCUUGGAUAGAUGAUGCCUGCUUGUCAGCCUCCCGCUUUCUCCCUUUCCCCCACUUAGUUGCCUUCACCCAAACCAAAGAAGUUUAGUCUAAGAUGAAAGUUUGCUAGCCUGCAAAAUAGCUCAUUUUGUCUGCUUUUAUCAGCCUGCCCAGCUGCUUAGGUCAUAAGUCAACUAUUGAAGAGACCUUGAGCUAACUAGGAUUGCAGUGCAUUGUGGGCCGCAACCAAAUGCAGCAAGACAAGCCUAAAAAAAAAACACACACACACACCGGCUGGGCGCGGUGGCUCACGCCUGUAAUCCCAGCAGUUUGGAAGGCCGAGGCGGGCGGAUCACAAAGUCAAGAGAUCGAGACCAUCCUGGCCGACACGGUGAAACCCCAUCUCUACUAAAAAUAGAAAAGUUAGCUGGGCGUGGUGGCACGCACCUGUAGUCCCAGCUACUCGGGAGGCUGAGGCAGGAGAAUCCACUUGAACCUGGGAGGCGGAGGUUGCAGUGAGCCGUGAUUGCACCACUGCACUCCAGCCUGGUGACAGAACAAGACUCUGUCUCACAAAAAUCAAAAAACAAAACACCUGAAGCCCCUACCCAACAAUCAAUAGGCAACAUCCGGGAAGAUUGUGACCCCAUAGUUAUCAGCCUAUGAGGAACCAGGGGAGGAACCUGUGCACUAGGGGAUAAAUUGCUUGUUGAAACUGUUGGGUGUGCCUAUCAGACACUGAUCUUGCAAGACCAUCAUUAAAAGUCUCACUUUUGCUGUUCUCCGGGUCUCUGAGUCCAUUCUUUGGGACGGGUAAGUUUGUUUCUCACACUCAAGAAAUCAUCUUUCACUAUCCCACGCUAUCUCUCCAAAACUGACUUGAAUCCAACCAGAAUAAAUGUCAAUCCAACCUUGUAUUUAUAUUUAUCUACUAUAAGAAGUCCCAGAAUUUCUAGUCAACUGUCUUUUCGGACAUUGUAUACCAUCAAGUCUCAUUUGUCCCCUUUUCUCAUUCUUCCCAACUUUCAACACUUUUCCUGUAUGCCUUCAUAAUGGAAUUCAUAAUUCAUUAACAACCAACUCCUCUUUUAUCUUCAACCACUUCCUUGAACACGCCCUAACAUUCUGAGUCUAACAGAAACUAGGCUGUAUCUGGAGGACUCUGCAGCCCUCUCAACAUUUCCCCAGCUACAGCCUCUUACCAGUGGGUCUGAAAAUGGAACAGAUGGCCGGCCUCCUUGUUGUUCACUACCUUCAGACCUUUCUUCCUCCCUCCACAAACUCUAGUUUUGAAUUUCCUGCCAUGAGAUUGUAUAUAACUCACCACAUCUCACUUUUGUUGACCUCUACCAAACACAGGGUAUUUUCCCCCUAUAUCUGAAAUCUUCAGCUCAUGGUUUACUCUCUGCAGCGCGAUUACCCUUUUCUAUUUUUUUUAAUUCUUGCAUUUUUAACUACACCCACACAGAUGAGCCUUGUUUACUUACCCUUGCCUGGACUUUUCCCCCCUCUCGUGGCUCAUUUCCAACAACAUGUUGAUGGGUG
Molecule: long non-coding RNA, 10700 nt
Filed under: Homo sapiens (human)
Lineage: Eukaryota; Metazoa; Chordata; Mammalia; Primates; Hominidae
Description: HSALNT0259318
Source: RNAcentral